UUCUGUGUAACAUGAGAUGAGUUGGAGAUGGCAGACUUAUCAGGAUAUUUGCGUUCUUGCCUAAGCACGGGAAAACUUGCCUCUUUGGCAAUCUUAGUCUCUGGGGGAAUUGUCUUGCAAAUUUUGGCAUGUACUUUGUAUAAUAAUUGGUGGCCGAUGCUAAGUGGUGAGAUAAAGCAUCUCUGUAUUUAUUUCUUGAAGAUUUAAGGGAAUGAGAUGUUAAUGUGACCGAACAUUCCUGGUUUGUUAUUACAUUUGGUGUUUUAUUUUC
Arachis ipaensis is the source of this 271-nucleotide non-coding RNA. Lineage: Eukaryota; Viridiplantae; Streptophyta; Magnoliopsida; Fabales; Fabaceae. The record is from RefSeq and is a predicted model, not a curated record.